Lathyrus oleraceus (garden pea) is the source of this 110-nucleotide small nucleolar RNA. The record is from RefSeq and is a predicted model, not a curated record. Lineage: Eukaryota; Viridiplantae; Streptophyta; Magnoliopsida; Fabales; Fabaceae.
AAUCCAUGACGUGGGCAUGCUCUUAACAACUCUUUAUAUCUCUCCCAAGCUUCGAACAAUGAUUCUCCUUGGUGUAACACCUCAAAAUUUGCCCUCCUAUUCUUGGGACU